This 232-nucleotide long non-coding RNA is filed under the name Elaeis guineensis (African oil palm). RNAcentral's name for it is "long non-coding RNA (EGUI_LNC071125)". The record is from RNAcentral. Lineage: Eukaryota; Viridiplantae; Streptophyta; Magnoliopsida; Arecales; Arecaceae.
GGUCCUACAUACUUUUCCAGGCACUACUCCAUCAGAAAAGUCAAUAGCCAUCAUUCCCCAUGACCGCUAGUAUUAAAAAGGGUAGAGCAAAAACGUCAUCCGGAUGAUUGUCUCAGAUUGGUGUAUGUUCACUAUUACCUCAGAUCGACAUGUAUUAACUAUUGCCUUGGAUUAGCAUAUGCUAGAAAUUGCCUCUGAUCGGUAGAUGAGAGUAAUUGCCUCUGGUCGGCCC